Molecule: ribosomal RNA, 547 nt
Filed under: uncultured Acinetobacter sp.
Lineage: Bacteria; Pseudomonadati; Pseudomonadota; Gammaproteobacteria; Moraxellales; Moraxellaceae
Description: bacterial SSU rRNA
Rfam family: Bacterial small subunit ribosomal RNA
Source: RNAcentral
ACCUAGCGGCGGACGGGUGAGUAAUGCUUAGGAAUCUGCCUAUUAGUGGGGGACAACAUUCCGAAAGGAAUGCUAAUACCGCAUACGCCCUACGGGGGAAAGCAGGGGAUCUUCGGACCUUGCGCUAAUAGAUGAGCCUAAGUCAGAUUAGCUAGUUGGUGGGGUAAAGGCCUACCAAGGCGACGAUCUGUAGCGGGUCUGAGAGGAUGAUCCGCCACACUGGGACUGAGACACGGCCCAGACUCCUACGGGAGGCAGCAGUGGGGAAUAUUGGACAAUGGGCGAAAGCCUGAUCCAGCCAUGCCGCGUGUGUGAAGAAGGCCUUUUGGUUGUAAAGCACUUUAAGCGAGGAGGAGGCUACCGAGAUUAAUACUCUUGGAUAGUGGACGUUACUCGCAGAAUAAGCACCGGCUAACUCUGUGCCAGCAGCCGCGGUAAUACAGAGGGUGCGAGCGUUAAUCGGAUUUACUGGGCGUAAAGCGUGCGUAGGCGGCUUUUUAAGUCGGAUGUGAAAUCCCUGAGCUUAACUUAGGAAUUGCAUUCGAUA